Brassica napus (rape) is the source of this 795-nucleotide long non-coding RNA. RefSeq lists it as uncharacterized. Lineage: Eukaryota; Viridiplantae; Streptophyta; Magnoliopsida; Brassicales; Brassicaceae. The record is from RefSeq and is a predicted model, not a curated record. The transcript has 3 exons.
GGGAAUACCUGAUGGCAUCACAUUAUAAAGAAUCUCUGUUUGACGCCCUACUCAACGACAAAAAAUUUAGGUUUGGCAUUAUGGUUAAGGGGUAUGACACUUCCCUUCCUGCAGAUGAAGUCGAGAGUGUUUUGAGAACACAUUUCUCUUCUUGUGGAGAGAUAACACAUGUUUACAUUUCUACUCCCAACAACCGUGCUAAUAGGAGAAGCUUUGGCGCUGGGUCUUCAUGGAAGUGAAGUGAGAGGAUUCAGAAUAACUACUAGGAGCUUAGCCAAGGUCAGAAGUUAACCCUCCCCUUAUCCCCGGUCAAACUCAAACUCGUCGUAUUGGCUAUACCGUCCCAGCUCAUAUCAUCGAGUUUGCUCCCGAGAUUGGGUGGAAGGUCAUGGCUUUUAAGAGGAUUAAGAGGAUCAUGAAGAAGGUCGCGGCUUUUAAGAGGAUGAAGAGGACCUUGAAGACGAGGUCAGGGCUUUUAUGAAGGAGAGGAGGCUCAUUCUCUCUCAAAAAGACUGAGAAGCUCUUUGAUCAAUGCAGCCUUUCUUGAUUUUAUCACUUGGCGCCAUCAAAAAGCUCAAUGUAUGAUGACCCUUUUGUUUGUGUGUGUGUGGAUGGUAAACAUAACUCUAAUAAUUGUCAAAAAAAAAGACAUAAAUUUAAUAUUAGUUAUCUUCGUAUUAUUAUCCGAUUUGCUUAGGUAGAGCAGAAGCAUAAUCUCCUCAUUGCCUCAUUGUAUCGUUCGGAACUCGCGAAUGAACAUUUUUAGUGUUGGAAUAAAACAGUUGUUAUUCUUUU